AGAGUUUGAUCCUGGCUCAGAUUGAACGCUGGCGGUAUGCUUAACACAUGCAAGUCGAACGGAAACGAAACUAGCUUGCUAGUAGGCGUCGAGUGGCGGACGGGUGAGUAACGCGUAGGAAUCUGCCUGAUAGUGGGGGAUAGCCCGAAGAAAUUCGGAUUAAUACCGCAUAAUCUAUUCGUAGUAAAGUGGGGGACUUUCGAGCCUCACGCUAUCAGAUGAGCCUGCGUAAGAUUAGCUUGUUGGUAGGGUAAAAGCCUACCAAGGCAACGAUCUUUAGCUGGUCUGAGAGGAUGAUCAGCCACAUCGGGACUGAGACACGGCCCGAACUCCUACGGGAGGCAGCAGUGGGGAAUAUUGGACAAUGGGGGCAACCCUGAUCCAGCAAUACCGCGUGUGUGAAGAAGGCCUGAGGGUUGUAAAGCACUUUCAAUUGUGAAGAAAAGUUAACGGUUAAUAACCGUUGACCUUGACGUUAACUUUAGAAGAAGCACCGGCUAACUCCGUGCCAGCAGCCGCGGUAAUACGGAGGGUGCAAGCGUUAAUCGGAAUUACUGGGCGUAAAGCGUGCGUAGGCGGUUUAUUAAGUCAGAUGUGAAAGCCCCGGGCUUAACCUGGGAACUGCAUUUGAAACUGGUCAACUAGAGUAUGGUAGAGGAAAGUGGAAUUUCUGGUGUAGCGGUGAAAUGCGUAGAUAUCAGAAGGAACAUCAAUGGCGAAGGCAGCUUUCUGGACCAAUACUGACGCUGAGGUACGAAAGCGUGGGUAGCAAACAGGAUUAGAUACCCUGGUAGUCCACGCCGUAAACGAUGAUAACUAGCCGUUGGGGGGAUUUACCCCUUAGUGGCGAAGCUAACGCGUUAAGUUAUCCGCCUGGGGAGUACGGCCGCAAGGCUAAAACUCAAAGGAAUUGACGGGGACCCGCACAAGCGGUGGAGCAUGUGGUUUAAUUCGAUGCAACGCGAAGAACCUUACCUGGUCUUGACAUCCUGCGAACUUUCUAGAAAUAGAUUGGUGCCUUCGGGAACGCAGUGACAGGUGCUGCAUGGCUGUCGUCAGCUCGUGUCGUGAGAUGUUGGGUUAAGUCCCGUAACGAGCGCAACCCCUAUCCUUAUUUGCCAGCACAUUAUGGUGGGAACUAUAAAGAGACUGCCGGUGAUAAACCGGAGGAAGGCGGGGACGACGUCAAGUCAUCAUGGCCCUUACGACCAGGGCUACACACGUGCUACAAUGGGAAGGACAAAGAGCCGCGAAGCCGCGAGGUGUAGCUAAUCUCAUAAAUCUUUUCGUAGUCCGGAUUGGAGUCUGCAACUCGACUCCAUGAAGUCGGAAUCGCUAGUAAUCGUAGAUCAGAAUGCUACGGUGAAUACGUUCCCGGGUCUUGUACACACCGCCCGUCAUACCAUGGGAGUGGGUUGCACCAGAAGUGGCUAGUCUAACUUUGUGAGGACGGUCACCACGGUGUGAUUCAUGACUGGGGUAAAGUCGUAACAAGGUAACC
This 1501-nucleotide ribosomal RNA is filed under the name uncultured bacterium. RNAcentral describes it as "bacterial SSU rRNA". It matches the Rfam family "Bacterial small subunit ribosomal RNA". The record is from RNAcentral.